ACUAGUCUAUAACUAUUAAUCCACCCUCAAAUCUAUUUAUAGUAAAAUUAACUAUUAUUGUUUCAUAGUACUAUUUUUGGAAAUAUUAUUUUGAUAGUACUUUGCUAACAUCUAUGAAAUUCCACUCCAUUGCACGAGCCAGAUUGCUUGUCACAUUUUUUUUCUUUUAUUUUCUUCUUUGAAAGUUGUUACUAUCAAAUCCCACGCCUA
This 210-nucleotide long non-coding RNA is filed under the name Elaeis guineensis (African oil palm). RNAcentral's name for it is "long non-coding RNA (EGUI_LNC019741)". The record is from RNAcentral. Lineage: Eukaryota; Viridiplantae; Streptophyta; Magnoliopsida; Arecales; Arecaceae.